UAUUAAAGAAGCAUGCUGCAUGUAUACAGAUAAUGAAAACACAAAUACAUAUAUAGGCGUAUUAUCGAUGUUCAUAUUCCACCUGAAAGUGUGAAUUUGCUCAUUAAGAAGGUGUCCAACAAUUUUUUGUUGUAGUUAUUUUUUAUUAGGUGACGCUCUCAUUUGUGGUGGUUUUAAUGAAGUUGCGGCAUAUUGUAUUUCUACUCUCUAUCUCCGCUUGUGAUCGCUGCCCGUUUCGUGGGGUAUGACGUGAGUGCUACAGGUACAAAUUAAUAUGGAGUUCGUUCUAGAAAAUCGAUCAAAUUGACAAGCACAACCGCGUUUACUGUCCAAUGAGACGAUAUAUACAUACACGUAUGCAGUGUGUACAUAUCUACGGUAGCGGUCCAUACUACUCGUAUGUAUGUAUGUAUGUAGUUACUUAAACGCAUAGUAUGUUGCCAACGACGCUGUUGUUCCAUCUGUGCGAGUAUACUAAAAAUCUCUUUAAUUUUGAGUGGAGAUUAUUGGGGCGUUUAUAUUGUCCGCCAAUAUUAUUAUAUCAUGCUUUUUACGCGCUGCUCCGUUCCUUGGACUCAGCUGUUGUACCAGUACGUUGAACGAAUGUUUUUUUUGUUUUGAUUUAAGUUGAAUUCCGCUGUCCACUGAUUGAUCUACUGCAGGCUGUGUUGUUGGUAGUGCUGUUGGUGCAGCCGUUAGUUGGUGAUUGCUAUGCCAGUCUGAAGUUCGAUGAAAAUUGUUAAUAUUGUCUGAUGAUAGUGAGUUUGGAUCGAUUUGUUUCGAAUUGAGUUUUAUUGCCACCGAUGCACAUUUACCCUUUGAGGUUUGCGACCUUGUUUGCCGGCAUUGACUUCUACUUGUUGUAGGUAUCCAUUGUGUCGAGGUCUACCGAAACAACCGACAAAGAAACCCAAAAUUUCACCACUCAUACAUAUUUAGGAUACUGCUUUUGUGAGUACAGUGCCGUGCGGUAAAGUACAGUCAACAUUUACAAUAGAGAAAGCCAAAGUAUUUUUGUUUUAAAAAUUAUAUUAAUGGUGAUAUUGGAAAUAAGGUUCUCUCUCGAGGAACUAAAAUUGAUGUAUAUUUUUUCUGAGGAAGACUCAUAGAGCUUUCGCCUUGAUAACGGUAAAUAUUAUAUGAAAAAAGUCUUUUGGUGCAUUGAUUGGGAGAAAGGGAAUGAAAACAAAUCAUAUGUAUUAGGACUAAGACGGGUACUUGAGUCGCAGUUCAAAACAAGUUGUGGGUGUAUUUAUGUAUUCGUCUCCAUUUUUUCAACCAGAGUGAUGGCUUAAGUCUUCACUUAUGUAUCAUAUUCAUUUGUAGUUAGCAGGUAGCCUAUGUACUUUGUAGAAUUCACAUGCAUACAAACUUAAUAAAGCAUUUGUAUUCUUAUAAUCGCGUCGUUGUCCAGAUGGUGUAUUACCACUCUCUACACAUUGCCUUCGUACAUAUGUAUGUAUAUAAGUAUUACUGAGUCCGUAGAUAUGCAUUAUAAGCACUUGUAAAUGCGCUUUAUGAUUUGCGCUGAAUUACAUAUUCCAAGCAGGUAUUUGUACUUUUGCACUUAACGUAUGGCUGUGCAAGUGAGCCUGCGCAUGCGUACUGCAACACAAACGCACACAUUCUGACAAAUUCACAACAUAUAAUAGUGUGUCAAAGGGGCUGCUUACUGUAAGUGUGUGUUUGCAAUUUUGUGCGGCCCUUGCUGCAAUGGAUUCGCUUCUAUGAGCUGCCGCAGAAAUUAGCCUACAGCCGGACGGUAGCACUGCAAACGCGGUGUAAUCCGUCAGUGAUUGUGGCGGUGAGAAAUGAAACGGAGUGAAGUUACUACUGAUGGCUUGAUGUGGUUGUUAGACCCGUUGCCGCUUAAACUUAAUCAAGAUUGUGUAAAUUUUAGAGUUUGACUUGUCGACACAAACUAUGUUACGAUGUUAUUUCUCUUUGACUUCGCCGACCAUGAGGAUGUGUCCAUCUGGGUUUGACGCAGCGCCUUGUAAUGAGUUUUCGACUGCAGGCUGUGUGAACAUCUUCGACAUCAUCAAAUAAUCAUCAAAAUUAUAUAGAAGAAUAACCAAAACAUUGAAAAGAGCAACAAUUGCAACAAUAACAAUAAUAACAACGUAACGAGAACUUCAUCAGCGUUCCAUCGCGGCUGGCGGCAAGGCAUUGGAGUGAGGGUGCAAUGUUUUGAAUUUGAUUGGAUGCAUGGUCGCUGUGCAGUGGCAGAAUCUUCCAAUUUGCAUAACUUAAUUGAAUCUGCGGCAACGCCAGUUGACGAGUCCUCCCUACGCAGACACUCGAACUUUAUAAAAUGGCGUAACUGCGUCUGCAGGUGCGAUGUGCUCUGGGCAGAGAUUUGGGUGAUUUAAAUGCAUUUGAAUUCAAUGAGUUUGCCUGAUAAAAGUAUCACAGCGAUGGUGUUGCAAUAAUGCAAACCUGUUAAUAUAUUUGUAGAAAUUAAUGGCGGCGUGUACUGCAGCCACCCUUUUUACGCGCAUCCAAGUAAGGCUGCUGGUCAAGCUGGUGCACUCAAUUUAUGCCAUAACAUACCAAUGUGCAUAUACGCGCACGAAUAACCAAGCCAAUGGCGGUGAAUUUUAUCCAUUUUAUUGUUCAAGUAAUAUGUCGGUUAUAGGAGGUAAAGCGCACAAUGCAGCCGUGGAACGAAUUAGGAGCUAUUUUACUGAACCGCUGCACUUACUCAACUGCGAUAACACUAGCAGCGGCAACGGCAACGGCAACAGCAACAACUGCUAAAAAAACCAAUAAGAAAGAAGAAUCAGCUAAGAAGUUCGCAACCCAUUUGCUACUCACAUAACUGGUCAAAUCGACAGUGAAUGUAGAUGGCUGAUUGUGUGAAGUGAAUCGCAUUCAAGGGGUGUGCACUCAGCACUUCAAAGCCAGCGUUGACUUUUGCCUUUCGCCCGAUUUGCAGCGCCUGCUCUGCAGUUUCUGCCAAGCUGCUUCGCUUUGUUUUCGAGCGCCGCAAUUCUCAUCACUUCCAACUCAAAGCAAUUGCCUCAGCAUGCCGCUAUCAUCAUCAUUAUUGCGAGCAUCUUCAUCAUAAUUUCUUGCAUUUUAUAUCACUUUUGGAUGAGUUUUAUUUUAUUUUAUUUUUUAAUUUUGCUUUUCUGUCUUUUGCUUUCUGCUUAUGCGAUCUGCAAUUUCGCCGCAUUUAUUUCUUUCGUUUGCAUAGCCGAGAACAUCGUUUUGCUGCCUUUGUUGUUGGCGUUUUAUUAGUACUCGGUCACUCACCAAUCACGUUCGAAAAUAAAUUGUGGAAAUUGUGAUUCGCAUUUUAUAUGGAAUGGUGUAUUUGCUUGCACAUACAACUGUCCAUACACACUUUUGACGUUGUAAUACUUGUUUGUGUGGGUGUGUACAACUACUCAAAUUAGUCUUUUCAUCAAAGUGCCGAAGAUGGAAUCGUCGCCAGUUGGCGAGAUGACCAAGGCGUCUGCUUGGGCUAUGUUGGAAAAUCGGUGGAGUUGCAUUGCAAUUGCACAUCACAUCUAUACAUACAGGUGUUUGUUUCUUUUCGGAUUUUAAAAAGUGAUAAUAACAACAACAAAUAAUGACAAAUAUUACACUAUAAUAAAAUAGAGGUAUUCGAAAGAACACCUAAAUGAGGCAUAUCGAAAUAAAAACUUAAAAUACAUUUUUACUGUUAUUCGAUUUCUGAGUUUAACCGAUUGUGAAGUCCUAUCAGUGUGCCGUAAGUGAAACACUCACCAAGUGGCUAUAAUCGACGAUGAAGGAUAAAGCGUGAAGGGGAGACGAUAUACAACUUGAAGUCGCGAAUUUCCGCCGAAUAUGAACCAUAAGACAUUGGCAGCAUACACAUAUAUUUUUUUAACAUAUAAUGCCUCUAUAUUUGUUUUUUGCCUUUUACACUUUUCGCUUUGAAGUGAGCACUCGUAUUCUUCCUUUUCAAAUGUAAAGCCACGAUGUAGUGAAUGGUUGGCAAUGGACGGCGGACGGCGGUGGUCAGAGGGCGAUAGUAAAUUCGAUUUGCAGCAACAUUCGUCGAGGUAAUAACUCAGGUGAUUAUAGUAAUUAUGCGUUCUGACGCGAUGCAAGUACGGAUAACGCUAUUUCGAUAUAAUUGAAAAAUCCUGAUAGACUUUUAUUAUGUACCGCCGAGUAUGAAUCGACGGAUGGAUGGAUGUUGGGGAUGUGUUUGGUGUUUGAUGUUUGGUGCAAGUGCUGAUCGUUGGAUUCUCUUUCAAUUGCACCGAUGAGUUAAAGCUUUGUGUGCGCGGUCUAGCUGCUGACCAUGUUAAAAUAUAAUAAAUUGUUGAAGUAAUAACGAUAAAGUGCUCACUGAGAUAGAUUUACAACAACGAUCCAAUCAACAGCUGAUUCGUUUGCCUGUCCUCGUUCGGUUAAUUCUCAAGCUAGAUCUAACCUAUUACCGUAUUCGAAUUCAUACUAGGACUUUCCUCGUGUACCACCAUAUAAAGAGAUGUUAUGAAUUUUUCCGAACAUUUAAAUCCCGAAUUACUGUAUUUUGUAUUUAUUAUUUGUUUAAUUAUUCAUUAGUGUUGACUUAAAUAUAUGUCUCGAUAGAUUUAUUAUAGUUAAUAUGAAUACUAAUAUUGUGACAUAUAUAGUCAAAUUGUUACAUUUUUUCACACAUUGCAACGUCAAACAGACAUGUAUGAGCGUUAACGCCAGCUUGACUAAACAUAUAGAUAUCUUGAUAAAACUUGCGAUACAUUUUGUUAGUUGGGUCUUUGAAUGAGGGCGUAAAAUAGCCUAAUUACGGUAAUAAUCGUGCACAUCUUCCAUUUGAUGGCUUUCUUGAAAACUGCUUAAAAUUCGACAAACCUCCUACCGGAAGAGCCAGACUCGUUAAUUUUUUUAUGAUGGAUAUAAUUGUAUACAAUUGGUAUAGCUGACUUUAUAUCAAACACACUUUACUAAUUUUAAUACUUUACUGGUUUUAACCGAAAUAAUCCCAUGACUAUUUCAUUUAGCACAGUAGCGGAAAUGGUAUAAUAAUUUAGCCCACUUCCCAAAUAGGUUUUUUUUUCAAAUAUACUAUAUAAAUAUAUGUGUAUAUACAAACAAUACUUAGUAAAUGGCAAACUUUGCUCUACACACAACUAUGCUUCAAAAAGAGUCUACAUAUAUAUGCCCACCAAGUCCCCAAGCACAGAAAUGAAGAUAUCUGCACUUCCCGUUGACUUUAUGUCAAUGUCAUAUAGUAAAUCACUUAAUACAUGAAGAAAGAAUAUUCAUGAAACUAUGUAACAAAAUGGAAUAAUAUCGCCCCAAAAAUUCCUCUUUACACUCCAGUAUAUCAAUAAGAAUAUUAAUAUAAUUAAAUGAACAAUUGUUCUGACUACUUGAUUUGAAGCGAAGAAUGUGUGAAAUCAGUCCCCAACUUCUGCCGGCCGCCAUUUUUCUAGUAUAUAUGAAUUUCAAUAUCAUUAAACAAGAAUGUUGUACUUAGCAUAAUAUGAUUCUCGGAAAGAAUUUGUACCAGAUACGUUGUAUGUUAAAUCUAAAUUAUAAAUUGCGAUAGUGUAUAAUGUGAGAUUGGAAUAUUUAACAAAUGACUAAAAGUAUUUUCUAUAUAAACUGGAAACAAAAAAAUGUAUUUCGGUUGCCUUAGUGAUUGUUCUACUGAAUCAAAUCAUCGCAAGAUUGUGUCAACUCAUUUUAAAUUAAUUAUAUAUAAAAAAUUUGAUGGAA
Long non-coding RNA from Bactrocera oleae (olive fruit fly), 5703 nucleotides. RefSeq lists it as uncharacterized. The record is from RefSeq and is a predicted model, not a curated record. NCBI's taxonomy places the organism in Eukaryota, Metazoa, Arthropoda, Insecta, Diptera, Tephritidae.